GACCCGGCAGGCAAACGCGGCGGUUUGGACAUCUCUGGCCGCCAAAACCGUAAAACCAUAUAUUCAGUAAUGUCUAUCGAGUAUCCAGGGUAGAGUAUACCUUAUGGUAUUGGCCCUCUCUCGCGGAAAUAUAUUCUAUUCCUGAACCGCGAGCAUAACUACAUUGAAACAUUCCUCAACUAGGGGAAAUCAUACGACUCGAAUUACUUGGUCGCUCCCGAGAGCAUGCUAUCGGGAACGUUGGGGAACCUGCUCCUUUCGUCAUAUUCAAGACUGAGAUAAUGUUCAUGUGUUGAUGGCAAAUCCUCGGAACUGUAUACAGCGUCUGAUAAUAAUUUUCCAGAUACGCCCCACAGCAUUAAAAUCAAUGACUGCCAGUU
RNAcentral lists this small RNA (380 nucleotides) under Histoplasma ohiense. RNAcentral's name for it is "hypothetical lncRNA". Lineage: Eukaryota; Fungi; Ascomycota; Eurotiomycetes; Onygenales; Ajellomycetaceae. The record is from RNAcentral.